AGAGUUUGAUCAUGGCUCAGAAUGAACGCUGGCGGCGUGCUUAACACAUGCAAGUCGAACGAGAAAAGUUUCCUUCGGGAAGCGAGUAGAGUGGCGCACGGGUGAGUAACACGUGGGUAAUCUACCCCUCAAUUUGGGAUAACAUUGCGAAAGUGAUGCUAAUACCGAAUAACAUCCAUAAUACUUUGGUAUAGUGGACCAAAGGUGGCCAAUCCUUGGAAGCUACUGUUGGGGGAUGAGCCUGCGUACCAUUAGCUAGUUGGUAGGGUAAUGGCCUACCAAGGCGACGAUGGUUAGCUGGUCUGAGAGGAUGAUCAGCCACACUGGAACUGACACACGGUCCAGACUCCUACGGGAGGCAGCAGUCGAGAGGCUUCGGCAAUGGGGGAAACCCUGACCGAGCGACGCCGCGUGAGGGAUGAAGCCCUUCGGGGUGUAAACCUCUUUUCUGGGGGAAGAAACCCUAUGGGGGGCAAAUAGGGCCUCAUGAUUGACGGUACCCCAGGAAUAAGCUCCGGCUAACUCCGUGCCAGCAGCCGCGGUAAUA
Molecule: ribosomal RNA, 547 nt
Filed under: bacterium enrichment culture clone Cont110_3130
Lineage: Bacteria
Description: bacterial SSU rRNA
Rfam family: Bacterial small subunit ribosomal RNA
Source: RNAcentral